RNAcentral lists this small RNA (48 nucleotides) under Plasmodium falciparum 3D7. RNAcentral's name for it is "Pfa-starR7617". The record is from RNAcentral. Lineage: Eukaryota; Apicomplexa; Aconoidasida; Haemosporida; Plasmodiidae.
CACAAGUUGCAUACAUGUCCUAUGAUGUUGGGUUACGUCUGACCGUUU